RNAcentral lists this non-coding RNA (89 nucleotides) under Staphylococcus lugdunensis. RNAcentral describes it as "TPP riboswitch (THI element)". It matches the Rfam family "TPP riboswitch aptamer (THI element)", at positions 7 to 92 of the family's 105-position model. From Rfam's summary of the family: Vitamin B(1) in its active form thiamin pyrophosphate (TPP) is an essential coenzyme that is synthesised by coupling of pyrimidine and thiazole moieties in bacteria. The previously detected thiamin-regulatory element, thi box was extended, resulting in a new, highly conserved RNA secondary structure, the THI element, which is widely distributed in eubacteria and also occurs in some archaea. The record is from RNAcentral. Lineage: Bacteria; Bacillati; Bacillota; Bacilli; Caryophanales; Staphylococcaceae.
GCACUAGGGGUGUUUAAACUGAGAUGAAGCCUUGCUUCAAACCCUUCGAACCUGAUCUAGCUUGUACUAGCGUAGGAAAGUGACGAUAA